This 243-nucleotide ribosomal RNA is filed under the name uncultured bacterium. RNAcentral describes it as "partial 16S ribosomal RNA". It matches the Rfam family "Bacterial small subunit ribosomal RNA", at positions 91 to 334 of the family's 1533-position model. The record is from RNAcentral.
CCGAGUGGCGGACGGGUGAGUAACGCGUGGGUAACCUGCCUCAUACAGGGGGAUAACGGUUAGAAAUGACUGCUAAUACCGCAUAAGCGCACAGUACCGCAUGGUACGGUGUGAAAAACUCCGGUGGUAUGAGAUGGACCCGCGUCUGAUUAGCUAGUUGGUAAGGUAACGGCUUACCAAGGCGACGAUCAGUAGCCGACCUGAGAGGGUGACCGGCCACAUUGGGACUGAGACACGGCCCAA